RNAcentral lists this long non-coding RNA (452 nucleotides) under Heterocephalus glaber (naked mole-rat). RNAcentral describes it as "lncRNA (ENSHGLG00000045682.1)". Lineage: Eukaryota; Metazoa; Chordata; Mammalia; Rodentia; Bathyergidae. The record is from RNAcentral.
CAUCAUGGUUAGGGUUAGGGUUCUUCUUUUCAUAAGGGUCAUGGAUAGUUCGGAAGUAGCGGUACCUGAAAAUGACUCAGGGUUUGGCUAUUUUUAGGGCUAGGGUUAGGGUUAAGGUCAGGGUGAUAGAUAGCAUUGAAAUUGAAAUGCCUGUGUGGGUCAAAGUGGGUUGGAAAGUGAGUAUUAGGGUAAGUUCCUGUGGAAGAGGAGGGAGAAUGUCCAAUCACAGUCACCUGGGUAGUAUGAUUUGGUCCUGCGGCUUAGGGUUAGGGUUAGGGUUAGGAGUGCGUUUAGCUUUAGGGUUUCAAUUCAUGUACGUGACGUUUGGAGUGUGGGAAUGGUUGUUAGGGUUAGGGUUCUUCUUUUCGUAAGGGUCAUGCAUAGUGUGGAAGUAGCGGUACCUGAAAAUGACUCAGGUUUUGGCUAGGGUUGUGGCUAGGGUUGGGGUUAGG